GGUGUUUCCUAACUGGGGAGCGGGUGGGACUCGUCCGCGGCAGAACAGCCUCCAGAUGGGAACACGCCUCGCCGCAAGCAUCUGUCAGCAGUCAUUACCAGGUGGCAGAUGGAUGGGGAAACAGUAGGAAGUAUCUGGAUCAUGGCCAUCAGCCACCUUCAAUCAUCUUUUGAUUCUUGUUCCAAUUCAUUAAACUGCGGUGCCUCCGACUCGAGUCAUACAGCAAGAUGCAGCCAAGAGAAUCAGAGUCCAUUUAUCCUGAAACUUGGCCGUUCCUGAGCUGGAAACUUCCACACCGCACCGUUUCUUAGGGCAGGUAAUCUGUGCAUAUUUAGUAUCUUUCUUUUGAUGGUCUUUGCUCGGAAAGACUGUUGAUUAUACAAACGGGAAGCAGAGGACAAGAUGAUUUGCAAGCGAUUAAAAGAUGAUAGUCAUUCAGUGACGCAGUCAGUAAAGAUCGGCCGCCUGUUGUGUGUCAGGCACCAUGCUAGGUGAUGGGACACAGUCGCAAAUAAGAUGGCUUGUGCCCUUGAGGACGUACAGCCCCGAACUAACAUUUAUUGAGCGUUUAAUGUAUGCCAUUGAGCAUUUAACGUGCCUUAACUCAUUUUAUCCUCACCACAACCCUCUGAGGUAGGUUCCGAAAGAUGAAGUAAUUUACUCAAGAUCGUACCACUUGGAGAUAGAGGGGCUGGGCCUCGGACCCACGCAGACUGUUUCCAGAGCCUGUGUCCUUGACCUUUGCAGGUUUUUGCUCUCGAGCGGGUGAUACAAACAUCAGGCCGUGACAAAACAUGGCCAGGGCCACCACAGAUCAAUGCAGACCCGCACAAGCGGCACCCGGAAGGGACCGCUAAUCCAAGCUGGGGGAUGGCCAGGGAAGGUUUGCGGAGGGAGUGGUGUGGAUAGCCAGCCUGGAGGAGUGAAGAACGAGGCAGGGGGUUCUGCACAGAGGGAACGCCAUGCACAAAGACCAGAGGAGACAAGGCUUAAAACACAUGGUGGCAUUCUACAUGGUGGCAUUCUACGAAGAGUACCGCCUUAGCGAGGGAGGGAGAAGUGACAGCUGGGGACAGAAGCACUGAAGGGGGGCACAGGUAGCUGCAUGCAGCUCGUCCUCAGACCCACUUCUCUCCCGAGCGCUGGAGGUACCUUUCCAUCCCAGGUGAGCAAGAAGGCAAGGGAGAGGGGACUGGGGCCUGGGAGACGCCCAGGGUGCCCUGAGUGAGGUGAGGCACCAAGUGCCCGGCUGUGGCUGCCGUGGACACUGGUGUCCUUUUCACUCCUCUCCUCUUUUCAGCCAGCAAGUCCUUAGGGAAACUAUGCAGAAGGAAUACAGUUUUGAUUUUCUUUUGGAAACCAGGAGGGGCGUGUCUAAUGUCAAUGCUGCACAACUGUGGAGCUGGGAGUCCUUCAAUGGCGAUUUUUGAUUUUUGAAUCCAGCGUCAGCAGCCACGUGACUCGGGAUGAGGCUCUGAGACAGUACUUGUAGAGACUAUACAAGUAAGGAUAUCAAUUGCUUAGCAUGCAGGAGGGGGCAGUAACUGCUUUUUAGCAGGGAAGGCGGGGCACCGACAGGGGAGAAGAGGAAGUCAGAUCAUCGACAUGGAGGUUUCGCUGCUUAAGGCUCUACAGCCCUUGAGUGAUUUCUAUGUCAGCCGUUCUCAAAGGGUGACCUUUGGAAGCCGUUGCAUUUUUGGUUGUUGCAACGACCAGAGCUUUCUGAUACGUAGCGCACAGGAGGCAUCCUGCAGGGUGAGAUUCUCAACGGGAAUUGCUUCAUAUGACAAAAUAAAUCCUGCCGGACAUUCACAGGGGUGGAAAAACCUAUUUAUGGUUAUCUGAGCCUAGGCUGUAACUUGACUUUAUGUGUAAAACACAGGCUCGUUGGUU
This is a long non-coding RNA of Panthera uncia (snow leopard), 1893 nucleotides long. RefSeq lists it as uncharacterized. The record is from RefSeq and is a predicted model, not a curated record. The transcript has 2 exons. NCBI's taxonomy places the organism in Eukaryota, Metazoa, Chordata, Mammalia, Carnivora, Felidae.